Molecule: ribosomal RNA, 465 nt
Filed under: Vreelandella stevensii
Lineage: Bacteria; Pseudomonadati; Pseudomonadota; Gammaproteobacteria; Oceanospirillales; Halomonadaceae
Description: partial 16S ribosomal RNA
Rfam family: Bacterial small subunit ribosomal RNA
Source: RNAcentral
CCUACGGAGGGCAGCAGUGGGGAAUAUUGGACAAUGGGCGAAAGCCUGAUCCAGCCAUGCCGCGUGUGUGAAGAAGGCCUUCGGGUUGUAAAGCACUUUCAGUGGGGAAGAAAGCCUUGGGGCUAAUACCCUCGAGGAAGGACAUCACCCACAGAAGAAGCACCGGCUAACUCCGUGCCAGCAGCCGCGGUAAUACGGAGGGUGCGAGCGUUAAUCGGAAUUACUGGGCGUAAAGCGCGCGUAGGCGGUCUGAUAAGCCGGUUGUGAAAGCCCCGGGCUCAACCUGGGAACGGCAUCCGGAACUGUCAGGCUAGAGUGCAGGAGAGGAAGGUAGAAUUCCCGGUGUAGCGGUGAAAUGCGUAGAGAUCGGGAGGAAUACCAGUGGAGAAGGCGGCCUUCUGGACUGACACUGACGCUGAGGUGCGAAAGCGUGGGUAGCAAACAGGAUUAGAUACCCCUGUAGUC